Molecule: long non-coding RNA, 323 nt
Organism: Pectinophora gossypiella (pink bollworm)
Lineage: Eukaryota; Metazoa; Arthropoda; Insecta; Lepidoptera; Gelechiidae
Exons: 4
Source: RefSeq, a predicted model, not a curated record
UAUAAAUGGUGUGCGCGGGUGUAUGGAAGACAUCGUUUCGUCUCAGCUUCAGUCGAUACUACCUUCAACUUCAACAUGAAAGCCGCUGCAGUUCUUGCUUUCCUGGCCGUUUUGGCAAUGGAAUUGCUCCUAGCAAGUGCCGGAAGAGGUUCGUCGAGAAUCGCUGCCGUCGCUGGCCGCACCUCAUAAUGGUGGUUAUUUGAACACCUUUAAUAUGCAGACGUCACAAAUAUCUCCUCAAGAUUUUGAAAAACGAAAAUUGUUGUUCUAAAUUAAUUAUGUCUGACGUUGAAUAUAUUGAAUAAAAAUAUUUAUUGCCUGUA